RNAcentral lists this long non-coding RNA (805 nucleotides) under Linum usitatissimum (flax). RNAcentral's name for it is "long non-coding RNA (LUSI_LNC002226)". Lineage: Eukaryota; Viridiplantae; Streptophyta; Magnoliopsida; Malpighiales; Linaceae. The record is from RNAcentral.
CAGCAUUUCCCCAAAGCAAACCACAAGGGAUGAUGAUGAGUCAUCUGCCUCAGCCGCUGAAGCAGCUUUACCUGAAGCAUAUACAUAAUCAGAAAUGGCAAUAAAUUCAAGCUAACUAGAAAGUAAAGCAACGAUCUUUACUACAAUUGUUUCAGAAAAGAACAAAUGCCAAAAUUACUUACCCCGGGAGCUCAAACGACGAGAGAGAGAAGGGGAAGAGGAGAAUGACGACGGUUUUAGAUUUCCAGGUCUGAAACUAACAGAAGUAUGGCGGGAAUUGAGACCCACGCCGCCGAAGCGAAGAGCAGGUGAGUGAAGUAGAGCCAUGCAACUUGAAAGAAACCCAGAACAGGGAAGAACAAAUCUCAGGCAAAUGAGAGGCGUAAAGAGGCAGCUGCUUUUAGAAGGGUUGUUUGACAAAACUCAGAAGGAAAAGGCGGAAAUUGCAGAGUAGAAUGCGGAUUGCUGAACUGGGGUCGUCAAAAUUGAGGGUGAUUAGAUAAAUAUGCUUUUGGAAUCAGCAUAGGGAUUGAUUGGUUGCUCGAUGAACCCCAACAAGAAACCAAAAAAUAGAAACAGUUGUCUAAAAUUUUGAAAAAAAAGGGUUUAAGAUCUAUGGAAUGAGAUUCUCCUACUCGUAUUCAGAGUUAUUUUGAACUGAAGAAAGUGAGCAGUAGGAGGAGUGACUAGCAGUCUAGCAGAGUACAAGCUCUUCUUGUGGCGGAGAACGCAAGAACAAAUUCCACGUUCUAAUAAUAUAUUUCUAACGACUUUUUCCGUUAUCCCAAUAAUGGGCCAGUAUCUG